RNAcentral lists this ribosomal RNA (497 nucleotides) under uncultured bacterium. Its description in RNAcentral is "partial 16S ribosomal RNA". It matches the Rfam family "Bacterial small subunit ribosomal RNA", at positions 28 to 507 of the family's 1533-position model. The record is from RNAcentral.
GAUGAACGCUGGCGGCGUGCCUAAUACAUGCAAGUCGAGCGGACGGACCAGACGCUUGCUUCUCUGACGUUAGCGGCGGACGUGAGAGUAACACGUGUAUCACCUCCCUAUAAGACUGGGAUCACUUCGGGAAACCGGCUCUAAUCCCGUAUGAUAUUUUGAUCCGCAUGGUGCAAAGGAGAAAGUCGGCCGUGCUGUCUGGUCUAGAUGCAUCCGCGCUUCAUUAGCUGGUUGGUAAGUUAACGGCUUACCAAGGCAAGGAUGCAUAGCCGACCUGAGAGGGUGAUCGGCCACACGGGAACUGAGACACGGUCCAGACUCCUACGGGAGGCAGCAGGAGGGAAUCUUACGCAAUGGGCGAAAGCCUGACGGAGCAACGCCGCGUGAGUGAUGAAGGUCUUCGGAUCGUAAAACUCUGUUAUUAGGGAAGAACAUAUGUGUAAGUAACUGUGCACAUCUUGACGGUACCUAAUCAGAAAGCCACGGCUAACUACGUG